This 2582-nucleotide long non-coding RNA is filed under the name Mus musculus (house mouse). Its description in RNAcentral is "long non-coding RNA chr15:26440603-26443185". Lineage: Eukaryota; Metazoa; Chordata; Mammalia; Rodentia; Muridae. The record is from RNAcentral.
AGUUUUACUCUCAAAGGUGAAAAGCUUUAUUUGAGACUAAAAAUGCUACAUUUGGAGUACUAUGUGAUGGCUUCCUUUCAGUCAUUUUUACCCUUCCUUUUAGGUGACCCCCAUCUUUGGACAGUACCCACCUUGAGUAGGGACUGCCAACUGCUCUGCUCAUUGGGUAGCCAGACCAAGAAAACCAGUUUGACAGCAACAGAACAUGUGCUCAAAGUAAGCCUCCUUCCUGUGUAUGCAAACGAUGACAUGCUCAGCACGCGUCCUCUACAAAGGGAUUUCCUGGAGGAAGGAGAGAAUCAUGCAGCAAUUUUGCUUUGAUGGCAUAAAAACUUUAACAGCACAUUUGAGAGACUGAGUUGGUUCAUCCUGGUCUACAGACAGAUGCCAGAGAACAUAGAGACUCUGCAUCAGUGUUUCUGGGUUAGAGCCCAGUAGCUUAUUUUAUUAAGGUUUCUAUAAUGAUUUUUUUCAUCAAAGAUACAGAGCCCCCCCCCAAAGACAACUUCCAUACUAACUUUUCAUAUUCAGAUUUAUCACCUUACUCCAAACUCUAAAAAGUUCCACAUCUGAAUUCAGCACAUUAAAAAUAACAAUGCUUUAAUAAAGGUGUUAUGCUAAUUUUACAUGUCAGCUUGACAAAGCCACUGAAUACUGGGAGGGCUCAUUAGUCUCAUUAGUCUCAUUCCUUGGUGUGGGUGUCAAGGUGUUUGUGGAAAGAUUAGUUUGAUAUUGGUAGGUUGAGUAAAAGAGGCAUCCUUUCCCACCGUGGGAGGAAGGCACCACAGUGGGUGCUUGGAAUAAGUGUACGGACGAGUGCUGACUUUGCUCUCAGACUUUCAGCCUAUGCUGGAGCAGAAACCUCCAGGUAUAUUCUCAGGGAUCCACACUGUAGCAGCACACAUACAGGUCUCUAGCCUCCAGAGGGAAGCUCACUGGACGUUUGCAGCUUCCAUAAUGAUUAGCGCAAAUGUCUUAUGCUACGUAUGAUUUCUACCUAUCUUCUGCUAGUUCUCCUUAUCUGGAAACACCAGACUAGCACAAAAUUGAAUGCUUCUAUGAUGUGGACAUUUUGCAUAAUGUGUUCUGUUAGAUUCAUGCGGUGUGCAGACCAGUUUCCUAACUACACUUGAAAACCAUAUCGUUUCUUCACUUCUCCUGUCUAAUCUUGAGUUUGGUCCACUUCUAUGCUUACUUUAGAACUUCUUCUUGAACAAAGAACCCCUCAAGUUCCCACAUUAUGAAAAUUCCACCAAGAAAAGAAGUCAGAGAAGCACAGAACAUUGGUCAAGUGACAUCAUGGUCUUGACACUGUACUCUGAGAUAACACAGAACUGGGGACAUGCUUCUGUUGCUCAAAGACCACGCAUUAUACUAACUGGUUGUCAUUUCUGUAAUCAUUUUCUCUGAGUGCACUUGUCUGAUGAGUGACAAUUUAUUUUAAGGUUUAGUCACCUUAUCCAUACACAAAUGCCACAUACACAAAGGCCAUGUUUAGCAACAGAUCAGCCAGUGGCUCCUCAUUUAACUCUCCCUUACUUUUGUUCACUGGGUAUUUCAACAAAGCAUAUACUUGAGUGUGACUGUGGGACUUGGUGUGUCUAUAUGUACAAGUGUGAAUGUAAUUCUCACAGUCUAUUAGCUUAAAUUUUAAGCUUAGUAAUAGAGAGAAAUGGGGCAUGGCACUAGACAGUUUCAGCACUGUUCAAAAAAUACAUGUCUUGUCACUGCAUAUCUCAAUUGCAUGUCACAGAGAAUCCUAUACUUGAGAGAAAAAUGGGAGACAGUCUAACUCAAAAUCUUAUAAAAUUUCUCAUGUUACAAAAAUAAAAGGCUUUAAUCCCCAAGUUUUAAAUUUCAAGUUUUAAAUUCUCAAGAUGUUCUUUUGAGUACUACUCAGCUAUUAAAAACAAUGAAUUUAUGAAAUUCUUGGACAAAUGGAUGUAUCUGAAGGAUAUCAUCCUUAGUGAGGUAACCCAAUCACAAAAGAAGUCAUUAGAUAUGCAAUCACUGAUAAGUGGAUAUUAGCCCACAAACAUAGAACACCCAAGAUACAAUUUGCAAAACACAAGAAAAUCAAGAAGAGGGAAGACCAAUGGGUGGAUACUUCGUUCCUCCUUAAAAUACCCAUGAAAGGAGUUACAGAGACAAAGUUUGGACCUAAGACAAAAGGAUGGACUAUCCAGAGACUACCCCACCCAGGGAUACAUCCCAUAAUCAGCCACCAAACCCAGACACUAUUGCAUAUGCCAGCAAGUUUUUGAUGAAGGGACCCUGGUAUAGCUAUAUGAGGCUAUGCCAGUGCCUGGCAAAUACAAAAGUGGAUGCUCACUAUCAUGUAUAAGACGGAACACAGGGCCCCCAAUGGAGAAGGUAGAGAAAGCACCCAAGGAGCUGAAGGGGUCUGCAACCGUAUAGGAGGAACAACAAUAUGAACUAACCAGUACCCCCAGAGCUCGUGUCUCUAGCUGCAUAUGUAGCAGAAGAUGGCCUAGUUGGCCAUCACUGGGAAGAGAGGCCCCUUGGUAUUGCAAACUUUAUAUGCCCCAGUACAGGGGAACACCAGGGCCAAGAAGUGGGAG